CGGGUGAGUAACGCGUGGAUAACCUGCCUUACACUGGGGGAUAACACUUAGAAAUAGGUGCUAAUACCGCAUAAGCGCACAGAGCCGCAUGGCUCAGUGUGAAAAACUCCGGUGGUGUAAGAUGGAUCCGCGUCUGAUUAGCUGGUUGGCGGGGGUAGAAGCCCACCAAGGCGACGAUCAGUAGCCGGCCUGAGAGGGUGAACGGCCACAUUGGGACUGAGACACGGCCCAAACCCCCCUCCUACGGGAGGCAGCAG
This 257-nucleotide ribosomal RNA is filed under the name uncultured bacterium. RNAcentral's name for it is "partial 16S ribosomal RNA". It matches the Rfam family "Bacterial small subunit ribosomal RNA", at positions 103 to 354 of the family's 1533-position model. The record is from RNAcentral.